This 738-nucleotide ribosomal RNA is filed under the name Pseudomonas sp. N10(2019). RNAcentral's name for it is "bacterial SSU rRNA". It matches the Rfam family "Bacterial small subunit ribosomal RNA", at positions 66 to 801 of the family's 1533-position model. Lineage: Bacteria; Pseudomonadati; Pseudomonadota; Gammaproteobacteria; Pseudomonadales; Pseudomonadaceae. The record is from RNAcentral.
GCGGAUGAGAAGAGCUUGCUCUUCGUUCAGCGGCGGACGGGUGAGUAAUACCUAGGAAUCUGCCUGGUAGUGGGGGACAACGUUUCGAAAGGAACGCUAAUACCGCAUACGCCCUACGGGGGAAAGCAGGGGACCUUCGGGCCUUGCGCUAUCAGAUGAGCCUAGGUCGGAUUAGCUAGUUGGUGAGGUAAUGGCUCACCAAGGCGACGAUCCGUAACUGGUCUGAGAGGAUGAUCAGUCACACUGGAACUGAGACACGGUCCAGACUCCUACGGGAGGCAGCAGUGGGGAAUAUUGGACAAUGGGCGAAAGCCUGAUCCAGCCAUGCCGCGUGUGUGAAGAAGGUCUUCGGAUUGUAAAGCACUUUAAGUUGGGAGGAAGGGUACUUACCUAAUACGUGAGUAUUUUGACGUUACCGACAGAAUAAGCACCGGCUAACUCUGUGCCAGCAGCCGCGGUAAUACAGAGGGUGCAAGCGUUAAUCGGAAUUACUGGGCGUAAAGCGCGCGUAGGUGGUUCGUUAAGUUGGAUGUGAAAUCCCCGGGCUCAACCUGGGAACUGCAUCCAAAACUGGCGAGCUAGAGUAGGGCAGAGGGUGGUGGAAUUUCCUGUGUAGCGGUGAAAUGCGUAGAUAUAGGAAGGAACACCAGUGGCGAANNGACCACCUGGGCUCAUACUGACACUGNNNNGCGAAAGCGUGGGGAGCAAACAGGAUUAGAUACCCUGGUAGUCCACGNA